AGAGAGAGAGAGNGGGAAGGAGGGAGAGAGAGAGGGCGGAAGAGAGGGAGAGGGCGAUAUACUCUAAUAUUAAUUCUUGUUUACAGGUCCAAGACCCAUAACUCUGUUAAAAAUAUGGUGGCAAGCAUUAUUAAGAUUUCUACUUGUGAUACAAGUUUUAAAUAAAAUAGUAGAAAUCUUAUCAGCACCAAAUGUAUAAAUAUGAAUAUAAAUUGGACAGCGCAUUAGUUAAAUAAAUUAGAGAUUAGUACAUCUAAGAACCCAUUGUAAAAAAAAAAGAAAAAGAAAUAAAAAGUUUUCAAUGUCCUAUAAUUAGGAAACAUAAAGCUAACUAACCUAAAUGAGUAAUCAAACUGACAGUAAAGUUGUCCUCUAUUAGUAAAGAAUAAGAAAACUUGCCUGUACUUGACGAGCAGCAUAAGAAGGUACACUUCCUAUUACAUUCCUACUUGAUGUUGUGCGUGAUGAGCUUGUAGAAGAGGACAUGAAUAACCAUGAGAAAAAUGAUGCUACCAUUUCUGGAAACUGUAGAAUCAAAUUACACAAUCAAGACAGGCAAUAAAAGAUCUAGUCGAAAAUUACAUAUAACAGAAAAUCAGACAAUUUAGUGUCUGAAAUCAACUUCUCAUGGGACAACUUAAAAAUCAUAAUCAAAGAUAACAAGGUUAUUGAAUCUAUUAUUAGUACUCAGAUUCAUACAUAAUCUUCUCUCUUCAAUGAAGCAAAUCAAAAAUUUAAAUUGGUGUGGUAACAGCAAAUGAAUCUGUGGCUACCAAACAAAUAUUGUAGGCUAAAAUAGACGCAGAGAAGGAUUCAGAUGGCUGAUACUCUCGAAACAAAACUAGUAUCUAUGGUACGGGCAUAUGUUUUAAGCAAAAUAAUAAAGAAGGUCGCAAUUAGAAACCUAGGAAAAAAUAUAGUCAAACUGAAGUUUCAUUAAAAAACAAAUAUGUGUGCCUUGGUACCUUAAAAAGCAGUGUCACUUUAACAAAACAGUGAACACCAACUUGUAUGCUAUCAGACUGCCUAAUUCUAAAGACAAGAAAUGACUGGAAUUGGAACCAGUUCCAACAACCAUAUGCAUGAAUAAGAAGGAACUAAAAGGUCAAGCAAGAAAGUGACAUUCUAAGCAUUUCAAAAACUAUCUGUAUGCUUACAAGAAAAUGCACAUUUAUUUCUGCUUGGCUCUAUAGCUGCUUUAUUUUUUAUAUGUAAUGAAUCUGGGAUGUGUAAUUUUGAAACAAGUUCCUCACAUAUCAAGGAAAAGUAACAUCAUAAACAACUGUUUUGCAUGCAAAAUGCCUAUCAGCCAGAAAUGCCCAGACUGCCCUAGAAAUGAAUUAAAUCAUACAAAGCAAGAUAUGAUUAAAAUUUAAGUCAACUAUGACUAACCUGAACACCUAAUCUGUAGAAUCUAAUAUUCAUAAAGAAACACACGCUUAUUUGUCUAAGAAACUGUGGGCAAGACAUGCAUGUGUACACUGUCAAAAAGCCCCUUACAUCACCAUCCAAUAAGAUGCUCCCUUGUAAGACUUGGAAAAUUCUUCAUGCUAUAUUUAAAGACAGAAGUCAAACAAAUCAAAUUCUUGACUGAUUUGAAGGAGCAUAUGCGCAUAAUCCUGAUC
Molecule: long non-coding RNA, 1625 nt
Filed under: Phoenix dactylifera (date palm)
Lineage: Eukaryota; Viridiplantae; Streptophyta; Magnoliopsida; Arecales; Arecaceae
Description: long non-coding RNA (PDAC_LNC014232)
Source: RNAcentral